AACGAACGCUGGCGGCAUGCCUAACACAUGCAAGUCGAACGAGAUCUUCGGGUCUAGUGGCGCACGGGUGCGUAACGCGUGGGAAUCUGCCCUUUGGUUCGGAAUAACAGUUGGAAACGACUGCUAAUACCGGAUGAUGACGAAAGUCCAAAGAUUUAUCGCCAGAGGAUGAGCCCGCGUAGGAUUAGCUAGUUGGUGUGGUAAAGGCGCACCAAGGCGACGAUCCUUAGCUGGUCUGAGAGGAUGAUCAGCCACACUGGGACUGAGGCACGGCCCAGACUCCUACGGGAGGCAGCAGUGGGGAAUAUCGGACAAUGGGCGAAAGCCUGAUCCAGCAAUGCCGCGUGAGUGAUGAAGGCCUUAGGGUUGUAAAGCUCUUUUACCCGGGAUGAUAAUGACAGUACCGGGAGAAUAAGCUCCGGCUAACUCCGUGCCAGCCGCCGCAGUAA
RNAcentral lists this ribosomal RNA (449 nucleotides) under uncultured bacterium. RNAcentral describes it as "partial 16S ribosomal RNA". It matches the Rfam family "Bacterial small subunit ribosomal RNA", at positions 29 to 523 of the family's 1533-position model. The record is from RNAcentral.